ACGCCGAUGGUGAAACGGUUAUCAUGCUUGCCUUCCAUGCGAUACAUGUGUAGCAAGCGGUAGGGGUUCGACUCCCCUUCGGCGUA
RNAcentral lists this transfer RNA (86 nucleotides) under Armillaria solidipes. It matches the Rfam family "tRNA". Rfam says of the family: Transfer RNA (tRNA) molecules are approximately 80 nucleotides in length. Lineage: Eukaryota; Fungi; Basidiomycota; Agaricomycetes; Agaricales; Physalacriaceae. The record is from Rfam by way of RNAcentral.